RNAcentral lists this ribosomal RNA (448 nucleotides) under uncultured eukaryote. Its description in RNAcentral is "bacterial SSU rRNA". It matches the Rfam family "Eukaryotic small subunit ribosomal RNA", at positions 1214 to 1672 of the family's 1831-position model. The record is from RNAcentral.
CUCACCAGGUCAGGACACGGUAAGGAUUGACGGACUGAAGGCUCUUUCUCGAUUCCGUGGAAAGUGGUGCAUGGCCGUUUUUGGUUGGUGGAUCGAUCCGUCUGGUUAAUUCCGUUAACGAACGAGACCUCGGCACUCCGAAUAGCGCGGCGGACGUCGCGGCCUCCGGGCCGUCUUCCGCACGAGCUUCUUAGAGGGACCGUCCCCCGCCGGGGGAAGGAGGUGCGAGGCAACGACAGGUCUGUGAUGCCCUUAGAUGUUCUGGGCCGCACGCGCAUUACACUGACGCGUCCAACGGGUGACUCCCGACCCGAAGGGGCCGGGGAAUCCGCAAGGCGCGUCGUGAUGGGGAUUGAACGUUGCAAUUGUUGUUCACGAACGAGGAAUUCCUAGUAGGCGCGGGUCAUCAACCCGCGCCGAUUACGUCCCUGCCCUUUGUACACACCGC